Molecule: ribosomal RNA, 745 nt
Filed under: Abrothallus buellianus
Lineage: Eukaryota; Fungi; Ascomycota; Dothideomycetes; Abrothallales; Abrothallaceae
Description: mitochondrial SSU rRNA
Rfam family: Bacterial small subunit ribosomal RNA
Source: RNAcentral
UGGUCAAUGGCCUAACGGCUGAACCAGCAACUUGGGGGAAUGUAUUUCGAUUAUGUCGUAUAAAGUUCUAGAUAGAUUGAUGAUAAUGACAAUUUUCUAUCUAUAUGUCUUGACCAAAUCUUGUGCCAGCAGUCGCGGCAAGACAAGAGAGACUAGUGUUAUUCAUCUUUAUUAGGUUUAAAGGGUACCUAGACUGUAAAUUUAGCCCCUAAAGGGUACGUAUUUGCUAGAGUUAUUUGUGAGAGGAAUAUAGCAGAACUAUUGGUGUAAAGAUGAAAUUUUUUAAUACCAAUAUAACGGGUAACGGCGAAGGCAACCCUUUAUGUGAUAACUGACGUUGAGGGACGAAGGCUCAGGGAGCGAAGAGGAUUAGAUACCCCCGUAGUCUGGGCAGACAAUUAUGAGUGUCAUAGACUUAAGGCCAACUAGUAAAACUAAAUUGCUUUUUUUUUGCUAGUCGGUGGGGUCUAUAAAUGAAAAUGUAAGCACUCCACCUCAAGAGUAAUGUGGCAACGCAGGAACUGAAAUCAUUAGACCGUUUCUGAAACCAGUAGUGAAGUAUGUUAUUUAAUUCGAUGAUCCUCGAAAAACCUUACCAUAAUUUGUAUGUCAAUCUUAUAUUGAUACAAGCGUUGCAUGGCUGUCUUCAGUUAAUGUCGUGAGAUUUGGUUAGUUCCAUUAAAUUAACGUAAACCCUUGCUUUAUUUAGAUUUAUAAAGCAGCUCGCCGCGACAAUUGGGUGUGA